Long non-coding RNA from Dreissena polymorpha, 260 nucleotides. RefSeq lists it as uncharacterized. Lineage: Eukaryota; Metazoa; Mollusca; Bivalvia; Myida; Dreissenidae. The record is from RefSeq and is a predicted model, not a curated record. The transcript has 2 exons.
CGAUAAUCUACUGCAGUGCGUCUGCAUACGGUUCUAUGUUGAAGCAAUUAUAAUUUCCCAAUAAUGUGCAGAUAUAACUUAUAUGGAAUAUCACACUUCACAGUGUCAACAGAAACUGGGAUACUGUACUGAGUAUCUAAUGCUGCAUGAAGCUCACGAUUUCUACACCUGGAAUUUUAUUAACUCUUGCAAUAAAUAUUAUACAUCACCACAGUUACAGAACUAUGUUCUUUGAAAAAAUAAAAUAAAGAUACUUCAGA